This 2814-nucleotide long non-coding RNA is filed under the name Olea europaea subsp. europaea. Lineage: Eukaryota; Viridiplantae; Streptophyta; Magnoliopsida; Lamiales; Oleaceae. The record is from RNAcentral.
UUAUACUAGUAAAACACAAUAAUAUACAAUUCACAGAAAAAUAAUUUUUAGGCAAUUCAAUUUCCUGAAAUUCGUUUUCAAUUUAAUUCAAUUUUAUCUUCGCAACAAACGGACCCUUAUUUUUAAACCAAAAGUAUAAUUAACGUGUUUUUCCCAAAAAACGGAAAAAGGCCCAACCUUUCAUUUCCUAAUACCAUAAACAAUGGAUGUACAGAAUACAUUUCAAUUUCUCUCUCUCACCUUUUCCACCGUCACACUCCGACGACGGCACCACCGAAAAUUCACGCCUCCUCUUUUCUGAUAACUUUUGCUCAACUUCUUUAAAAAAAAAUUGAAUUGAAAAAUUGGUUGCAUCAACCCAAAGGCUGAAUUUCUUUCUUUUUCUUAACUCACCCCGUACUCUGGCUACAACAACACCCGAUUGCAGAUCAUGGGCAGAAGCUUUAUAGGUAUUCGAUUGUUUGAUUCGCCAAGUUUCACCAGUAGAAGGCGUGGAUGAGUUUGUAAGUGUCGUUCAUUUUUUUUCUACCAGUUAUUUAUUUAUUUUUUUCCUUCUUUUUGUUUGGAUGCAUUUUUUUAGCAUUCUAUUUAUUCAUACUCGGGAAAUGGGUCUAAGCCACUUCUUAGGUUUUUUCUAAAUUUUAUUUGCCCAAUUUCUUCAGUCUCUGUUUAUUUUCUGUGUGCCGUGGAAAUGUAUCGUUAAUGGAUUGCACCAAUUCAAUUUGUAUUUCUAUAGAAGUACAGAAAGAACCCUUAUCUAUAGAUUUGCAACAUUGACAUUGCUAAAAAUUAUCUAGUCACUCUGCCAAAUUCAGGUUUUGAUAAUGUGUAUAUGGUUGCUGUAUGUGUUUAAAAUUCCAUGUCACAUGAAAGCACAUUUUCUUGAAUGCUAUGCUGCUGAAAUUUUCACAACCAUUGAUGUCAGACUUCUGUACCAUAUUAAAUUUUAGGAUUAAACCACAUCUACAGCACAUCAUGGUUCAUAGCCCCCUCACAAUGAGGGGACCUCACCUCGGUUUUAUUUAUUGUUAAUAUGUGCGGGCCCCCUCCGAUGUGAGGGGGCUGUCAACCGUGCGGUGUGUUGAGCUGUGCACACAGCACGGUCCUAAAUUUUAAACAGAUAGAUGCUGCUGCAAAUUAUGAAUGCUAUCAGUGAACGUUGCAGCAAAUUGAGAAAUGAUGACUUACCAAUUUUGAUUUGCUAUAAACAAGUUUUUAAGAAAAACAUUCAAAUUAAUCAAGAAUGCAUUACAGGUAGCUACUGUGAACUUUUAUGACAGACAACAAUAUCAUCACUUUUAGACAAUAAAGUUUCAAAUGGCACACCAUAUUAGCAUUUUGGCUGCUAAUAAUAGCUGAAACAAUUUUACAGAACAUGUGUUAUUCUGGAUCUCACUGUUGCACUUCAUUACAAUAUCAACAAAAAAUAUGAAGUCUCACAUUGGCAUGUUUGUUUUCUAUUAUUUACCCAUUAAAAUGAAAAAUACGACCAUUAUCCAUCACAUCAAGUCACCAUAUUUGACUUUCUAUCUCUUGUGGGGUUUCGUAACAACUAUAUUUUUCAUUCUUAUUUUUACAUUAAUGUGUACCAAACGAGCUCUAAUACCCAAUAGUUUAUAAAAUAAAACAUUUUGAUCUAUUUUUUUGUAGUUUCUCUUUAACCAAAUCAUUCACUUCUAAAGGUUUGUCCUGUCACUUAUGUGUACGAAUUGUUGAUAUUCUGCAGAAUUAAAGAAUGUAUGAUGCCUAGCGUCUUGUGUUUAUUAAGUUGACACCAUUCUGUAAAAUUAAACAGUAACAAUAACUAGUUAAAAAGUAAAAUCCAACCAAUCAUAGAAAAGAGAAAGUUGGUAUUGAUUAUAAAAUUCUUGUUGAUGGAAUUAGUUUUUCUUUGAAAACAAGUUGAUCCCCAUAUUCGUUUUUAUUUGUCCUUAUAUAUUAUUUUAGAUUUACUGGUCAAGUGAGCAAUUUUUUUCUUAUGGUUUUCUUAAGAAAUCUAAACAUAGCUACCUCAUUUGAGAGAGAUAUAUAUAUUCAUGCUUCUAGAAACAAAUAUGGAAAGCAUAAUCACUUGGCAUUUAUCUGACUUUAUUUCUUUGUAAAACAAGUAAAGCAAAAGUUCAAUUAAAAUAAAAUGAAAUUAGUGAAAUACAAAUCUGAAAACGAAUUAAUUGAAGAAACACAAACACGAGCACACAGAGAAACUUAUAUAUGGCACGCUCCUCGUAUAUAGAUAAGUUGUACAUCAUUCAUAGAAGAUUAAUGUUAUUUGCAAUCGCUCACUAUCUUAGUCGCUUACUAUCGUAGUCGCCCUGUGUGACAUACAUAUGACGAUUAGUGAUUUGAUACAUUAAUGUGGUAGUUUUUAUUACCUUAUAUAACAAUUCAUUAACCUCCACAUGUUUGUCACAUAAGAUAACUGUGGCAGUAAGCAAUUGCCCGUAGCUUUAUUCUUCAUAGAAUCGGUGAAAAGUUAGAACUCUGUUAUCUUUAUUAAUCUUCAUUGUCCCAAAAUUCUUGCACUAGAAUGUUUUUCUCAUAUAAGUAUUUUGCUAGAAAUAUUGUACUGUUCCUUUAUUUCAAAACAAUAUUUCUACUUUUUCUCUCAAAUAAUCUGUUUGAUAAGGUCAAAAUGAUUGUUUUAUCUAUAAUUUUAAUUGAGAAAACUAAUAAGAUCCUUAAUUUAGGGGGUUUCCUCAAUUGAAAUUGGAAUGAAUUUUAAAAUUCUUGUAUAUUCAGGUGAUCUCAAUUGAGAUUUUAAUGAAUUUUAAUGAAAUCUAUUAAAAUUUAGGAGUUUUCAAUUGAUAUUUAAAU